UCCGGUUUGUCACCGGCAGUCUCAUUAGAGUGCCCUUGCGUAGCAACUAAUGAUAAGGGUUGCGCUCGUUGCGGGACUUAACCCAACAUCUCACGACACGAGCUGACGACAGCCAUGCAGCACCUGUGUUCAGGUUCUCUUUCGAGCACGAAGCCAUCUCUGGCAACUUCCUGACAUGUCAAGGGUAGGUAAGGUUUUUCGCGUUGCAUCGAAUUAAUCCACAUCAUCCACCGCUUGUGCGGGUCCCCGUCAAUUCCUUUGAGUUUUAAUCUUGCGACCGUACUCCCCAGGCGGUCGACUUCACGCGUUAGCUGCGUUACCGAAGGAAGGUGGGGAUGACGUACCAAGGUUGGUU
Molecule: unclassified non-coding RNA, 355 nt
Filed under: uncultured Gammaproteobacteria bacterium
Lineage: Bacteria; Pseudomonadati; Pseudomonadota; Gammaproteobacteria
Description: contains 16S-23S intergenic spacer region
Source: RNAcentral